GGUUCAGCACACGCAACCAACGCGUUAUGUUACGUACUCAGAAUUGCCUUGUCGCCCAUCUUCCUAACUCCGUCCAACUGCUAAACAUCCCAAUAGAAUUUAGUUUGCUUCCCCUUUGGGAAAGGCAAAAGCUUUCCAUUGUCUCCAUGCGAAUAUUCUCUGCCUCAGCACCCACUUCUCCAUUUGAUGCCAAACCCAAAUUAAUAUUAUCUGCUUCUUUCUGUGAUUUCCAGUCCACCCUCAACCCUCAAUGUUUUAAGGUGGUUGAUUCUGGAUGACAAAGUCCAAGGGAAGUCGUAGUCUUGCCCAGCAAGAUCAGGGGAAGAUGACGAGAACUAGAAGAUAUAUAAAUCCAUGCAUGCCAUGUUAUCUGGUGUCUAAAAGGGUUAGCAGAUGUCUGUUUGUAUGUUGUUUCCCUGUUUUGCAGUGCCUUGGUUUGGAUGACCAUAGACACCACCAUCACCACUUGAGCCAUUUCCGUUGAUUGAUUCACCUCCUAUUACCGACAAAUUUAAUUGCUUUGGUAUGCCAAUUUCAACUUAAAUCUUUGAUCUUUGCUUAUUUGGAGACUGAUGUAUAUAUACAUGCUCGUUAUUGAAUUGAAUACUCAUUCUAUCAAUAUCCUCUAAUGGGUAGGAAGGAAACAGGCAAGUGUCUGUUUUAAGCUACUCAUAAUAGUUUCUUGAUAAGAAUGCACAAGUCAUUAAAUGAAAUUAAAUUGUCCUCUAAAUAGUUAAUGCAAAAGUCAGAGCUUUGAACAAAAUCAAAAUGAGCUGUUUGCUUCAAGCUAAACCAAGUUGAUCUGAUAACAAAGGUAUGUGGUCUCCAGUUAAUGACCACCCUAUUUUUAGUCUUCAUGGGUAUUGUUCCAAAGUUCUUUUUCAAACAAAUUUGUUGUCAUCUUCUGCAGCUCAUUAAAUCAGACCUCAAUUUCUUCACAUCUGACUGCUUG
Molecule: long non-coding RNA, 952 nt
Organism: Manihot esculenta (cassava)
Lineage: Eukaryota; Viridiplantae; Streptophyta; Magnoliopsida; Malpighiales; Euphorbiaceae
Exons: 3
Source: RefSeq, a predicted model, not a curated record